GUAGGGGGCGAGCGUUGUCCGGAUUUAUUGGGCGUAAAGAGCUCGUAGGCGGUUCAACAAGUCGGUCGUGAAAGUUCAGGGCUCAACCCUGAAAUGUCGAUCGAUACUGUUGUGACUAGGAUACGGUAGAGGUGAGUGGAAUUCCGAGUGUAGCGGUGAAAUGCGUAGAUAUUCGGAGGAACACCAAUGGCGAAGGCAGCUCUCUGGGCCGCUACUGACGCUGAGGAGCGAAAGCAUGGGGAGCAAACAGGAUUAGAUACCCUGGUAGUCCAUGCUGUAAACGAUGGGUACUAGACGUAGGAACUGGAUUGACGGUUUCCUGUGUCGCAGCUAACGCGUUAAGUAUCCCGCCUGGGGAGUACGGCCGCAAGGCUAAAACUCAAAGGAAUUGACGGGGCCCCGCACAAGCGGCGGAGCAUGCGGCUUAAUUCGAUGAUACCCGAAGAACCUUACCUGGACUUGACAUAUAGGGUCUAGCUAUAGAGAUAUAGUGUGCAUUAGCGCCCUAUACAGGUGGUGCAUGGCUGUCGUCAGCUCGUGUCGUUAGAUGUUGGGUUAAGUCCCGCAACGAGCGCAACCCUCGUCCUAUGUUGCCAGCAUUUAGUUGGGGACUCAUAGGAGACUGCCGGUGAUAAACCGGAGGAAGGUGGGGACGACGUCAAGUCAUCAUGCCCCUUAUGUCCAGGGCUUCACGCAUGCUACAAUGGCCAGUUCAAACGGAGGCAAUACCGGCAGGUGGAGCCAAUCUCUUAAAGCUUGUCUCAGUUCGGAUUGGAGUCUGCCCCCCGACUCCUUGAAGUUGGAGUCGCUAGUAAUCGCAAAUCAGCAAAGUUGCGGUGAAUACGUUCUCGGGUUU
This 856-nucleotide ribosomal RNA is filed under the name uncultured Actinomycetes bacterium. Its description in RNAcentral is "bacterial SSU rRNA". It matches the Rfam family "Bacterial small subunit ribosomal RNA", at positions 527 to 1381 of the family's 1533-position model. Lineage: Bacteria; Bacillati; Actinomycetota; Actinomycetes. The record is from RNAcentral.